This 374-nucleotide transfer-messenger RNA is filed under the name Fibrella forsythiae. RNAcentral's name for it is "Standard tmRNA". It matches the Rfam family "transfer-messenger RNA". Rfam says of the family: Bacterial tmRNA, also known as 10Sa RNA or SsrA, is named for its dual tRNA and mRNA-like properties. Lineage: Bacteria; Pseudomonadati; Bacteroidota; Cytophagia; Cytophagales; Spirosomataceae. The record is from RNAcentral.
GGGGGCGACUGGAAUUGACAGCUUGCCGAAAGUGCGUGUAAGCAUGCCGGGAGUUGACGGUAUUUCCCGACCCGAACAAAUCGUCAAAACAAUAACUGGCGAAUAUAACUACGCCAUGGCUGCUUAAUCCGGAGGAUUUAGCAAAUGCCAUCGUCUCCCCGACCUACGUGCUGCCGGUUGGAUCAGGAGGCGUCGACUCGCAGCGCUGGCUUCGAUAAUCAUUGUGACAAGGAGCGAGACAAAACAAUGUACGGUUGUCAAUAGGCCAGUUGUGAGCCAGUUGCCCGCCCGACAAUUCCAAUCACAACUAAGCAUGUAGAAAGCGCGACGCUUUCCUUGACUGGACCAGGGUUCAAAUCCCUGCGUCUCCACUA